CCUAUGGGGGGCAGCAGUGGGGAAUAUUGGACAAUGGGGGAAACCCUGAUCCAGCGACGCCGCGUGAGUGAAGAAGUAUUUCGGUACGUAAAGCUCUAUCAGCAGGAAAGAAAAUGACGGUACCUGACUAAGAAGCCCCGGCUAACUACGUGCCAGCAGCCGCGGUAAUACGUAGGGGGCAAGCGUUAUCCGGAUUUACUGGGUGUAAAGGGAGCGUAGACGGCAUGGCAAGUCUGAAGUGAAAGCCCGGGGCUCAACCGCGGGACUGCUUUUGAAACUGUUAAGCUGGAGUGCAGGAGAGGUAAGUGGAAUUCCUAGUGUAGCGGUGAAAUGCGUAGAUAUUAGGAGGAACACCAGUGGCGAAGGCGGCUUACUGGACUGUAACUGACGUUGAGGCUCGAAAGCGUGGGGAGCAAACAGGAUUAGAUACCCUUGUAGUC
Molecule: ribosomal RNA, 440 nt
Filed under: uncultured bacterium
Lineage: Bacteria
Description: partial 16S ribosomal RNA
Rfam family: Bacterial small subunit ribosomal RNA
Source: RNAcentral